Octopus sinensis (East Asian common octopus) is the source of this 172-nucleotide long non-coding RNA. RefSeq lists it as uncharacterized. The record is from RefSeq and is a predicted model, not a curated record. The transcript is spliced from 3 exons. Lineage: Eukaryota; Metazoa; Mollusca; Cephalopoda; Octopoda; Octopodidae.
CUUUCUCUUAGUUCCUCAAACUGUAGGUUCUUUUCUGAAGAUGUUCAUUAUCUAAGACAGAGAAAGUAUAUAUGAAAAAUAUAUGUAGAGUGAGAAAGAGAGCCAGAGAAAAAGAGUAUUUAUGAGUGAGAGAGAGAGAGAGAGAGAGAGAGAGAGAGAGAGAGAGAGAGAG